CUUGUCUCCCACUUCUUAGCUGCGCAUCCUGCAAAUAAACUCUGACUUUGCUGCAGAUACCUGCAGUCAAGGUUUGUCUUUCUGUGGCUGUGGGCACAUGAACCCUCCUUAAAUUUUGCAUCAUUGUGUUCCUAAGUCUCCUUAGGAACCUUAGUUUUCCUAAGCCACUCUAGUCUCAGCCCUGCCAGAAGUCAUAGCAUUUUCAUUUAAAAACUUAAAUAUAUGCUUGUUCUUUGUCCUAAUUGCUAGGAAUUCUUCCUUUGGAAAUAAACAGGGUUCUAAACCAUAUGUUCAAAACGAUCAUAUAUAUAAAUAUAAGACAGGAAGGACAUGCACCCAAAUGAUAACAGAGGUUAUCUCUGAGAGAUAGGGUUAUAGAUUAUUUUUUCCAUCAUGCUUGUGGGUUUGUGUGUGUGCUUUACACAUUUUCUGCACUUCACAAGUAUGUUUUUGUGGCUAGGCAGAAAUAACGUUAUAUUUAAAUAUGACCCAUUGUGCUUAGGCUAAGCACCUUACUGCCCUCUUUCCUUCUGGACAGCACUUUCCCAUGAGGCUUUCUGAUCCUUCAUGCAAACAGCCCCACAGAGACUCACCCCACAAGCCUCUCAGACAGGCAUACACAUGUCUGAAUCUACAGAGAGGCUGAGACAGGCCUGUUGGGGUGCAGUCUUCUCUGAGGGCACUGUAGGACGGGAUAUGAUGAUUUAAAUGCCCCUCCCCAACUUCCACCUCCUCUCCCAGGGGUUGUUCAGGGAAUCCACACCCUUGUGGAAGGAGUCGGAUGGACAGGAAUUGAGUCCCUGACUUUGCCAGGUACAAGCCAUGUGACUCUAGGCAAGUUAUUUCGUCUCUCUGCUCAAUCUUCACAUCCCUAAAAUGGAGAUAACACUGGAGUUAUAGCACAGUGAUCUUCUGGAGCCAGUAAGAAGAUGUAUGUGAAGUGUGGAUGCCAGUCUGGCAUGAGGUGACUCAGCAAGAGGUAAAGACAGAUGGCUUUUAAUCAGGUGACCAGGUUUGGACCAGGUCCCUUGGGGACCCAGUUCUUUAAAGAUGCUCUGGAUUUCUUCAGAGGAAGCUGUUUGGGGCCAACCGAACUUCUUCCCUGAGAAGCCUCAGUGGGACUUCCCCUCACACAGGCUUGUCUUCCUGAUGCCCUCUUUUGCUAUUCUGAAACCAAAGGUGGUAAUGGAUAGCUUAUGAAUGAGGGCUAAAAUUCUGCCAAUUAAUUGCAUUGAAUGAAGUUUGUAAACAUUGUGAAUGGAAAUUUUAGCACUGUCAACAAGUAUUUACUGACUACCCACUACGUGGUAGAUAUUGUGGGAAUAUUUUUGAGUACAGCGGUAGGCUGCAAAACCAGCCCCAGCUCUCUAUCCAUCCCUGUAUCUGUGUUCCUUGCAAUGUGACUUUGCUGCUCCUGCCAUCAGGAGAUUGAAUAAGGGUGUUGCUGUGACUUGGUUUAGUCAAUACAACUAUGGAAGUGACACAGUCCAGGUUCUGACUUCGGCCUUGAGAGACCUGCAUGAUUCCAGUCUUGCUCAUGGAACCCUGCAGCUGCAUGUGAACCAGCCUGGACUAGCCUGCUGAUGUAUGAGGAACAUGUGGCCUCACGUUACCUCAGUUGAUAGUCACCUGCAAGAAGCAGAGCCUCUGGCUGCCUAGCAACUACCCCAGAAGCAUGAGCGGGUCCAGCUGAGUCCAGAAGAACUACCCAGACGAGCCCAACCUAAAAUCCUGACCCACAAGAAUCAUGAAAUAAACUAAUAUGUUUUAAAGCCACCCCUAAGUUCUGGGGUAUUCUAUCAUGCAGGAAAAAAAAAAAAAAAACCCAAACUAAAAAUAUACUGAUUGAUACAAGCACUUAGCACACGCCAAACUCUGGCUCUGGUUUAUUUGAAAGCAGGCAGAGUCUUGGGAGCAAAGACCUGUACAAAUGUGCCAUACUGGGUGUGAUGCAGAAAGUGCUGUGGAGAGCAAACUCACCAGGAAUAGAAGAGAUGGCAUGUGAGAUGGGGAGGAAUCAUGUCCCUGUGGAGUAGGCUGGUCCAGGAUGAAAUUCCUGAGAGAGGAGAAUGAGUGAACAUGGGAAGAACAUGGGAAAUUCCAGGCUGGGGCCAUUGGUGGUAUUUACCGAGCACUUAGCUUGUGCAUGGAAGCAUUACACAGGCCACCCCAGGUCUGCAUGAGGCCAAGCAGGGGAGAGAAGACAGCCAUAUUGCUGUAGCAGAAAUUAGUAGAGGCACCCCAUUACGUUAGUCCGUUUUCAGCUCUUACUCUUCUGCCCAUACAAUCAGUCUCCUACAGAUGUUUUGUUCCCCCUCUCUUGCUUAAUUGUACUCUGAAAAUGAUUGCUUUCUAGCCAAAGUUGUCCUAUGUACCUAAUGUUUACUUCUUGAAGACAACACUCCCUAACACUCCUUUUCUUUGUGAGUAUUCUUCAUGCCAGAAGGAAGGUCACACAAUGAUGACCUCAAGGACCACCAGAACCUGUUCUGGAACCACCUGCCGCCAGCCCUAAUGAUCUCAAUGUCUCUAGGAGGAAAGAAGAAUGCAAGACUACAUCAGUCCCGAUCCUUAUCGACAGCCUGUUUUCCACUCUGAAGCUACAAGACCAUUUCCUGUUUCCCAGGAAGUAAGGCACAAUCUUGAGGGCCUUAGCCUGCUGUGGCCCCCUCUGCCUGACAAAAUAAUAAAGCUACUCUUUUCUGCUC
Molecule: long non-coding RNA, 2708 nt
Organism: Bos taurus (domestic cattle)
Lineage: Eukaryota; Metazoa; Chordata; Mammalia; Artiodactyla; Bovidae
Source: Ensembl